Non-coding RNA from Drosophila suzukii, 1647 nucleotides. NCBI's taxonomy places the organism in Eukaryota, Metazoa, Arthropoda, Insecta, Diptera, Drosophilidae. The record is from RefSeq and is a predicted model, not a curated record.
AUAGCCCUGCCAUCGAUAACGAUAUGUGUAUUUUCCUGCUCUCUCUGCACCAACAAAACACGCAACUAAAUUUCGUUUUAAAACCCCCAACUAAAAACAAUGUUAACGAAACGGAACCAAUUAAGUGAUUAAGUGGCUAAACGCGGCGGCGCCGAAAGCGAGCGCAGUGCAUUUUUCCGGAUGAAAUCGCGUUUUCGGGGAAACUUACACAAACAUUUUUUUUCGUAAGCGCUCUCAUGUUGUCUCUUUCGCACAGCAGAAUUACUAGUUGCUGUGUGUGUGCGUGCGUGCGUUUGUGUGUGCCGUAUGCCGUGUGUGUGCGUGCGUGUUUGCCUGUGUGAGUGACUUUGACUGCAGUUCGCGUACGUUUUUUUAUUAAUACCACACAAAACACAAAACAACAACAACAAACUGAAAUGGAAACUAAACAUAUUUAAUGCGAGGAGAGCAGAAAUCGGCAAACAACAACGGCAACGGCAAGGCUUUAUCACCUACUCACCACCACCACCAGCACCACCACUACGCCAGCAGCAACAACAACAACAAAUUACUACAGCGUGCAUGUGUGAUGAACGUAUUUGUGUUAAAUAAUGUUUAAACAUUUCUGAUUUCGCACACAAAACAAUUUUGAGUUGUAGUCACCGACCAGCAGAGAGAAACAAUUGAAGCAAACGAAGAAGAGCCAACACUUAUUAUUAAAAUCGCCUCAAAUACAAGCAAUAAUAAAUAAUAUAUAAAAAAAAACCAACCCGAAAGUAAAAAGUUCAACAUUUAGUAAAGGAAAACAAAUUAUUAAAAAUCGUAGCCAUUAGCUUUAACAAAACGCGUAAAAAUUUUGAACAGAACUUAGCAAGCCUAUAAAAAGUACGCCUUCCAAUAGUUAUUAUAUAUACACGCAUUAUAUACAUAUGCAUAUACAUAGCCAUAGCACUUACAACAUACAUACAUAUAUAUACAACAACGGUCAAAGGGAAUUAAACAACAAAAAACUAAAAACAAAAAAAAAAUCACAAACGGGAAACGAAAGAACGAUCGAGAAUCGUGGAAAAAGUGCGUUAUAUUCCAACGGUGCAAUCAAAUCUUAAUGUAGCCAAGCGAUAUUACGGCUACACACUAACAUAAAUACCAUAAAAAUAUAUAUAUAUUCUUACAUCCAUCAGAUAAAUCAACAAUUUUUACAAUCCGCAAAGUUAAGCAGCUUCAAAGUCAACCAACGCAAUUACUUUAAGAGAAUUACUUUAUCGGUAAAUAGAAAUGCAUAUACAUAUAUAUAUUGGAGGAUAAACGAAUAUUGAAGGCAAAAUUUAAAAUAAAUCAAGUGCAAAUUACAACAAAUUAUUCUAAAUAUUAAUUCAAAUGAGAAUUAUAAGAAAUUUCCAAUAUUAAAAUCAAAUUAUCCUAUUAUUCAUAGGCCUAAGUAAUGAAUAACAAAUUUUAUAUAUGCGCCCCAAGUGCUUAAUAAACAAAAAAAAAAAAACAAAAAACAGCAACAACAACACCAGACAAGAAAACUAUGUAAAACAACAACAACCUCAACAAACAGCGAAUCGAGCAAUAUUAUCAAUAAUAUAAAUCAGUAAAUUGUUAAAUGUUAAAAUUCAAAUUUAAACAACGCUAGCAACCUGCCAAUAGCAACAAAAUAUAAUA